GACUGCUAUCGGAUGAUACUAAGCCAUGCGAGUCUUGCAGUAAUGCAAGGCAUACGGCUCAGUAACACGUAGUCAACCUACCCUAUGGACGAGAAUAAUCUCGGGAAACUGAGCAUAAUUCUUGAUAGAUCAUAAUGCCUGGAAUGGUUUAUGGUUAAAAUGAUUCGUCGCCAUAGGAUGGGACUGCGGCCUAUCAGCUUGUUGGUGAGGUAAUGGCCCACCAAGGCGAUUACAGGUACGGGCUCUGAGAGGAGAAGCCCGGAGAUGGGUACUGAGACACGGACCCAGGCCCUAUGGGGCGCAGCAGGCGAGAAAACUUUGCAAUGUGCGAAAGCACGACAAGGUUAAUCCGAGUGAUUUCUGCUAAAGAAAUCUUUUGCCAGUCGUAAAACCGCUGGUGAAUAAGGGGUGGGCAAGUUCUGGUGUCAGCCGCCGCGGUAAAACCAGCACCUCAAGUGGUCAGGAUGAUUAUUGGGCCUAAAGCAUCCGUAGCCGGCUUUGUAAGUUUUCGGUUAAAUCCAUGUGCUCAACGCAUGGGCUGCCGAAAAUACUGCAUAGCUAGGGAGUGGGAGAGGUAGACGGUACUCAGUAGGUAGGGGUAAAAUCCUUUGAUCUAUUGAUGACCACCUGUGGCGAAGGCGGUCUACCAGAACACGUUCGACGGUGAGGGAUGAAAGCUGGGGGAGCAAACCGGAUUAGAUACCCGGGUAGUCCCAGCUGUAAACGAUGCAGACUAGAUGAUGCAUUGGCAUAAUAGCCAUUGCAGUGUCUCAGGAAAGCCGUUAAGUCUGCCGCCUGGGAAGUACGUACGCAAGUAUGAAACUUAAAGGAA
Molecule: ribosomal RNA, 832 nt
Filed under: uncultured marine group I thaumarchaeote
Lineage: Archaea; Thermoproteati; Nitrososphaerota
Description: SSU rRNA
Rfam family: Archaeal small subunit ribosomal RNA
Source: RNAcentral